CUUACCACAAAAACGCCCGGGAACUACGAGCUCUAGCUUAAAACCCAAAGGACUUGACGGUGUCCCACCCAACUAGAGGAGCCUGUCCUAUAAUCGAUGGUCCCCGAUAUACCCAACCUUUUCUUGCUCAUCAGUCUGUAUACCUCCGUCGCAAAUCUACCAUAUGAAUGUACAUAGUUCGGUUCAACGAUCACUUCAUCAGAACGUCAGGUCAAGGUGCAACCUAUGAAAAGGCAAGUGAUGGGCUACAAUUUCUAACCUAGAACAAACGAAAUGCUGAAUGAAACACGGGCAUGAAGGAGGAUUUAGAAGUAAAGAGA
RNAcentral lists this ribosomal RNA (320 nucleotides) under Fejervarya limnocharis (Boie's wart frog). RNAcentral's name for it is "partial 12S ribosomal RNA". It matches the Rfam family "Bacterial small subunit ribosomal RNA", at positions 875 to 1346 of the family's 1533-position model. The record is from RNAcentral. Lineage: Eukaryota; Metazoa; Chordata; Amphibia; Anura; Dicroglossidae.